Molecule: long non-coding RNA, 522 nt
Organism: Humulus lupulus (European hop)
Lineage: Eukaryota; Viridiplantae; Streptophyta; Magnoliopsida; Rosales; Cannabaceae
Exons: 3
Source: RefSeq, a predicted model, not a curated record
CAAAUUACUAUGCUUGAUAUUUUGAAUAUGUUAUUAUUCCACUAUGCUUAUUAUUUUUAAUAUUUUAUUAGAAUAGUAUCCCAAGUUUUUCCUAUAAAUAGCCCUUCCAAAACUCAUCUUGAAAUCACAAAAACCUCAUUUUCCUUUCUCUUACUAUACCCAAAAAUCUUCUUAACAUCCUUCUAAAGUUCUAAACCUCGGAGAUCUAGGCGAAGUUCUGUCCAUAACGCUAGCCUACGAAAACCUUUUAGGAAGCUAACAAUUUCGGUUGUUUUAUCAAGACGCAAGGUAAGAGGCCCCAAAUAUAAAUCGUUGAUGAGUAUACGUGGAGCCAACAUGACUGUACAUAUGGGGCUGACCUGAAGGGAGUGGAGUUCUGCUAUGCUAUUUUAUAAAUAAACAAGAAACUUGGUUUUAUUAUAUUUCAUUAAAAGUAUUUUGUGAACUUUAUCACUUACUUAAAGCUUUAAAAGUAUUUCAUGAACUUUGUAAUUUACAUAAAGCUUUUCAAUUUAUCAGUUG